CCAUCAACCUUCAACAGUGCCAACCAGACUUCAACAGUGCCAACCAGACCCCUCCAAUAGAUAAAUUCCCUCCAGACCCCUCCAGCGAUCGACCUUCCAUAGUGUCCUCUAGACUCCUCUAGCGGACGAACUUCCACAACACCUUUCAGACUCUUCUAUCGGUCAACCUUCUAUAGUGCCUUCUAAAUUCUGCUAUCGAUCAACCUUCUGUCAGAUUCCUCA
RNAcentral lists this long non-coding RNA (222 nucleotides) under Elaeis guineensis (African oil palm). RNAcentral's name for it is "long non-coding RNA (EGUI_LNC070735)". Lineage: Eukaryota; Viridiplantae; Streptophyta; Magnoliopsida; Arecales; Arecaceae. The record is from RNAcentral.